UACAGAGGGGGCAAGCGUUGUUCGGAAUUACUGGGCGUAAAGGGCGCGUAGGCGGCCUGCUAAGUCGAACGUGAAAUCCCUGGGCUCAACCCAGGAACUGCGUCCAAGACUGGGAGGCUUGAAUCCGGGAGAGGGAUGCGGAAUUCCAGGUGUAGCGGUGAAAUGCGUAGAUAUCUGGAGGAACACCGGUGGCGAAGGCGGCAUCCUGGACCGGUAUUGACACUGAGGCGCGAAAGCCAGGGGAGCAAACGGG
Molecule: ribosomal RNA, 253 nt
Filed under: uncultured bacterium
Lineage: Bacteria
Description: partial 16S ribosomal RNA
Rfam family: Bacterial small subunit ribosomal RNA
Source: RNAcentral